Molecule: long non-coding RNA, 771 nt
Organism: Talpa occidentalis (Iberian mole)
Lineage: Eukaryota; Metazoa; Chordata; Mammalia; Eulipotyphla; Talpidae
Exons: 5
Source: RefSeq, a predicted model, not a curated record
GAUUUUCCUAGAAAACAGAUCUGACAUUGAAGCUUAAAGCUGAGAUUUUGUUAGUGAAGAUUUUGUUAUACUGAAGGAACUAAAAGGGGAGGUGAAGCAAGUCGAACCCCAGACACGUAACAGAAGUCGUGGGCUGCCACCCUCUGUGAGAAUGUUGUUGAUGUUUUUAUCAAGACCCUGGUGUUUCUCAAGCGAAUUAUAUUGAACCAUAAGGAUAAGCCAGAGCAGGAGUGCUGGACAUUGACGCCACCGGAUGUUCCAGGGUUGAGAUAACUGGGAGGCUGACAACAAUUUCUGGGGGCUGAAGGUGAUGAACACCAGAAACAUCCACUGUGAUGGGCUGUUCUGAUGGGCUGUUUGCUUAUGAUUCGCUGUAGGAAUAAAACUUACUGUUGGAAUAACUGGUUGUUUUUGAUCAAGGUCAACCUGAAGGGGAUAUACCUUCCAUCAUCUUCUGACCGCUCCUGCUUGCACCUCAGGAAAAAGACUUAAGAUGAGGAGACCAGCAGGCUCUCCUCCAGUCAACCGAAGUUCAAACCUACAAAGGAAUGCACAGGGAUUUGAAAACCUAUGAUAUGUGUUGACUUAGGAAACACAGAACAAUUAAGAACAACGAAAAAUCAGGAGAUUUAAGAAUUUCUCUUUAGGGCACUGCCAGUGUUAAAAGAAAAAAAAAAAGAACUGGAAACAGCGCCAGUUACAUGAUGUGUGGGAGCUGGUGUAAAGUGAAAGUGCAGGGCCCCUUGUUCAAAAAGGCAGAAAAAAGUGUCC